AUUGAACGCUGGCGGCAUGCUUUACACAUGCAAGUCGAACGGUAACAGGCCGCAAGGUGCUGACGAGUGGCGAACGGGUGGGUAAUGCAUCGGAACGUGACCAGUCGUGGGGGAUAACGCAGCGAAAGCUGCGCUAAUACCGCAUACGAUCUAUGGAUGAAAGCGGGGGACCGUAAGGCCUCGCGCGAUUGGAGCGGCAGAUGUCAGACUAGGUAGUUGGUGGGGUAAAGGCUCACCAAGCCAACGAUCUGUAGCUGGUCUGAGAGGACGACCAGCCACACUGGGACUGAGACACGGCCCAGACUCCUACGGGAGGCAGCAGUGGGGAAUUUUGGACAAUGGGCGCAAGCCUGAUCCAGCAAUGCCGCGUGCAGGAAGAAGGCCUUCGGGUUGUAAACUGCUUUUGUACGGAACGAAACGGUCCUGGUUAAUACCUGGGGCUAAUGACGGUACCGUAAGAAUAAGCACCGGCUAACUACGUGCCAGCCGCCGCCGUAA
This 498-nucleotide ribosomal RNA is filed under the name uncultured bacterium. RNAcentral describes it as "partial 16S ribosomal RNA". It matches the Rfam family "Bacterial small subunit ribosomal RNA", at positions 29 to 523 of the family's 1533-position model. The record is from RNAcentral.